GUUUUUCAGCAGAGCUUCAGAGGGUUGACUAGGCUUUUAAAUAUCCUUCACCAGAUAAACAGCUGGGGAAGCCCUGCAGUUCGUUCAAGAGCAGUGCCUUUGUUGUGAGCUUCACAGCCUGCAGAAGCCUUUGGUUGAAGCAUCUCAGAACAGUCACCUGUCCUACUAUCAGGGGAUUUUGUAUGAGGUGAGAUGCUGCUGCCUUGCUGAGUGCCCUGGGUCGAAUCAACCUGAUGCCUCGGUUUCCGAUCUGAGAGAUGGGAAAACCAGCACAGAGGCAGUUGGGUGAAACACUCCCAGAGGCUUUGAUGAACACAGCAUCCUCAGGAGGACCGGUUUUGAUGACCUCGUCUGAUUACAGCAUCUUUGACAGCUUUAAAGGAAUUUGCUCCAGGGAAGGAGACAGCUGCUUCUCUGAUGAAGGAUUUUUCUGAGCAGGCCUCCCAAGUUAGACAUGUCGGUAUGAGAUGCUGCCUACAUUUUUCAUCAUGACCUACAGGCCAUACCAGAGAGGGGAUUUUGACAACGUUUCACGAAUCCUGCAGCUGUGAGCCGAUUGCAGCAUGCGGAAGAGUCCUUCAUCACUCCAAUGUACAGGAAAGAGAAG
Long non-coding RNA from Cuculus canorus (common cuckoo), 607 nucleotides. RefSeq lists it as uncharacterized. The record is from RefSeq and is a predicted model, not a curated record. The transcript has 4 exons. Lineage: Eukaryota; Metazoa; Chordata; Aves; Cuculiformes; Cuculidae.